RNAcentral lists this ribosomal RNA (466 nucleotides) under uncultured bacterium. RNAcentral's name for it is "bacterial SSU rRNA". It matches the Rfam family "Bacterial small subunit ribosomal RNA", at positions 33 to 507 of the family's 1533-position model. The record is from RNAcentral.
AGGACGACGCUGGCGGCGUGCUUAAAACAUGCAAGUCGAACGGACUUCUCAUGAAGCUUGCGAUUGAGAAGUUAGUGGCGGACGGGUGAGUAACGCGUGGGCAACCUGCCCCUGAGCCCGGGAUAACAGUUCGAAAGGACUGCUAAGACCGGAUAUACUUGCGGGGAAGCAUUUCACUGCAAGGAAAGGGAACGCUCAGGGAUGGGCCCGCGUCCCAUUAGCUAGUUGGUGAGGUAACGGCCCACCAAGGCGACGAUGGGUAGCCGGCCUGAGAGGGUGAACGGCCACACUGGGACUGAGACACGGCCCAGACUCCUACGGGAGGCAGCAGUUGGGAAUCUUCGGCAAUGGGCGCAAGCCUGACCGAGCAACGCCGCGUGAGUGAUGAAGGUUUUCGGAUUGUAAAGCUCUGUCUUCCGGGACGAUAAUGACGGUACCGGAGGAGGAAGCCACGGCUAACUACGUG